Molecule: ribosomal RNA, 1369 nt
Filed under: uncultured bacterium
Lineage: Bacteria
Description: bacterial SSU rRNA
Rfam family: Bacterial small subunit ribosomal RNA
Source: RNAcentral
GACGAACGCUGGCGGCGUGCCUAAUACAUGCAAGUAGAACGCUGAAGAGAGGAGCUUGCUCUUCUUGGAUGAGUUGCGAACGGGUGAGUAACGCGUAGGUAACCUGCCUUGUAGCGGGGGAUAACUAUUGGAAACGAUAGCUAAUACCGCAUAACAAUGGAUGACACAUGUCAUUUAUUUGAAAGGGGCAAUUGCUCCACUACAAGAUGGACCUGCGUUGUAUUAGCUAGUAGGUGAGGUAACGGCUCACCUAGGCGACGAUACAUAGCCGACCUGAGAGGGUGAUCGGCCACACUGGGACUGAGACACGGCCCAGACUCCUACGGGAGGCAGCAGUAGGGAAUCUUCGGCAAUGGGGGCAACCCUGACCGAGCAACGCCGCGUGAGUGAAGAAGGUUUUCGGAUCGUAAAGCUCUGUUGUAAGUCAAGAACGAGUGUGAGAGUGGAAAGUUCACACUGUGACGGUAGCUUACCAGAAAGGGACGGCUAACUACGUGCCAGCAGCCGCGGUAAUACGUAGGUCCCGAGCGUUGUCCGGAUUUAUUGGGCGUAAAGCGAGCGCAGGCGGUUUGAUAAGUCUGAAGUUAAAGGCUGUGGCUCAACCAUAGUUCGCUUUGGAAACUGUCAAACAUGAGUGCAGAAGGGGAGAGUGGAAUUCCAUGUGUAGCGGUGAAAUGCGUAGAUAUAUGGAGGAACACCGGUGGCGAAAGCGGCUCUCUGGUCUGUAACUGACGCUGAGGCUCGAAAGCGUGGGGAGCGAACAGGAUUAGAUACCCUGGUAGUCCACGCCGUAAACGAUGAGUGCUAGGUGUUGGAUCCUUUCCGGGAUUCAGUGCCGCAGCUAACGCAUUAAGCACUCCGCCUGGGGAGUACGACCGCAAGGUUGAAACUCAAAGGAAUUGACGGGGGCCCGCACAAGCGGUGGAGCAUGUGGUUUAAUUCGAAGCAACGCGAAGAACCUUACCAGGUCUUGACAUCCCGAUGCUAUUUCUAGAGAUAGAAAGUUACUUCGGUACAUCGGUGACAGGUGGUGCAUGGUUGUCGUCAGCUCGUGUCGUGAGAUGUUGGGUUAAGUCCCGCAACGAGCGCAACCCCUAUUGUUAGUUGCCAUCAUUCAGUUGGGCACUCUAGCGAGACUGCCGGUAAUAAACCGGAGGAAGGUGGGGAUGACGUCAAAUCAUCAUGCCCCUUAUGACCUGGGCUACACACGUGCUACAAUGGUUGGUACAACGAGUUGCGAGUCGGUGACGGCAAGCUAAUCUCUUAAAGCCAAUCUCAGUUCGGAUUGUAGGCUGCAACUCGCCUACAUGAAGUCGGAAUCGCUAGUAAUCGCGGAUCAGCACGCCGCGGUGAAUACGUUCCCGGGCCU